CAGCCGCCGCGGGAAUACGAAGGGGGCUAGCGUUGUUCGGAUUUACUGGGCGUAAAGGGCGCGUAGGCGGACUGAUAAGUCAGGGGUGAAAUCCCAAGGCUCAACCUUGGAACUGCCUUUGAUACUGUUUGUCUUGAGUUCGAGAGAGGUAAGUAGAACUGCGAGUGUAGAGGUGAAAUUCGUAGAUAUUCGCAAGAACACCAGUGGUGAAGGCGGCUUACUGGCUCGAAACUGACGCUGAGGCGCGAAAGCUAGGGGAGCAAACAGGAUUAGAUACCCGAGUAGUCCCUGUCUCUUAUAC
Molecule: ribosomal RNA, 301 nt
Filed under: uncultured bacterium
Lineage: Bacteria
Description: partial 16S ribosomal RNA
Rfam family: Bacterial small subunit ribosomal RNA
Source: RNAcentral